GAUACGCUGGCGGCGUGCUUACACCUGCAGUCGAACGAACUUCGGGUUAGUGGCGGACGGGUGAGUAACGCGUGAGAAUCUGCCCUCAGGAGGGGGACAACAGUUAGGAAACGACUGCAUCAUACCCCAUAUGCCGCGCAGGUGAAAUGAAUUUCGCCUGAGCGAUGAGCUCGCGUCUGAUUAGCAUAGUUGGUGUAGGUAAUGGCUCACCAAAGGCAUCGAUCAGUAGCUGGUCUGAGAGGAUGAUCAGACCACACUGGGACUGAAAACACGGCCCAGACUCCUACGGGAGGCAGCAGUGGGGAAUUUUCCGCAAUGGGCGAAAGCCUGACGGAGCAACGCCGCGUGAGGGAUGAAGGCCUCUGGGCUGUACAACCUCUUUUAUCAACGGAAGAAGAUCUGACAGGUACUUGAUGAAUAAGCCACAGGCUAAUUCCGUGCCAGCAGCCGCGGUAAUACGGGAGUGGCAAGACAGUUAUCCGGAAUUAUUGGGCGUAAAGC
Molecule: ribosomal RNA, 501 nt
Filed under: uncultured Synechococcus sp.
Lineage: Bacteria; Bacillati; Cyanobacteriota; Cyanophyceae; Synechococcales; Synechococcaceae
Description: bacterial SSU rRNA
Rfam family: Bacterial small subunit ribosomal RNA
Source: RNAcentral